UGGAGGCCGCGGGCGUGUGGAGGCCGUGGGCGGGGUCCCGGGGCGGGGGGUCCCGGCGCGG
This 61-nucleotide microRNA precursor is filed under the name Dasypus novemcinctus (nine-banded armadillo). RNAcentral describes it as "miRNA (ENSDNOG00000039233.1)". Lineage: Eukaryota; Metazoa; Chordata; Mammalia; Cingulata; Dasypodidae. The record is from RNAcentral.